ACGGAAAUGAAAAUAAGUCGUGUCUUCUCACCUGCCCUGCUUGGUGAUGAUCAUCUCGGUCUGGUGCCGGUGGAACUUGAGCCACAGCGGCCGGUUGCAGAGAUCAGCCGAGGGGGAAUCAUUCCACUUAAUUCAGCCUCAGAAAAUGAGGCGGCGUGAUGUCAGAAAUAACAGUGUGGGAUUUAUAAUUUCACCUGAAUGGAUCUCUGGCCCAGUCACUGCCGAUGAUCAAAACAAAAAAGAGGGACGAAGAAGAAGAAGUAGACGAAGAAGAAGAAGAAGAAGAAGCCUGAGCCAUGUGGAGGCGGACCGAUCGCGGUGUAGAAGCGCACUCCCGCUUCCACCGCUGCUCUCUCCUUGUGGCCGUGACGCACAGAUAGCAGCCUAUUAUCAGAUCCUCCACUGAUCUCCAGGGGAGGGGCGGGGGAUCCUCGGCAUCACGGCCAAGGUGUGCGGGAGAGGGGCUGCCCACCCCCCCAAAGAUCCAUCUGUGAGUCGUUUGCAUCUCAUCAACCUCUCAGAGACAUCAGCAGAGUCACAGUCCCAUCCAGGUCAGUUUUGCCACAAUGGCCCUGCGGAUGGAACCUGUCGCCACUGAAUCUGGGCUGCAUCCCUGUCUUUGUAGUCCCGGUCAUUGACUAGCGCAGGGCCAGACGACACUCAUCUACUUGCUGCUGCAGACCGGUUUGCAUGACAAAGACAGUGACAGGAUUAAUGGAGCAGGGCCGCCACCUCUCAAAUAAACACGCUGCACAUCAAACAGGACAAAUCAACUGUUUGGGUAAACUGUUUGAAUGGGCAAACAGUCUAAAGCUAAUACACCUCUGCUGAUUGCGCAGAUAAACUGA
Molecule: long non-coding RNA, 848 nt
Organism: Acanthopagrus latus (yellowfin seabream)
Lineage: Eukaryota; Metazoa; Chordata; Actinopteri; Spariformes; Sparidae
Exons: 5
Source: RefSeq, a predicted model, not a curated record